UUUACGGGAGGCAGCAGUCGGGAAUAUUGCACAAUGGGGGAAACCCUGAUGCAGCGACGCCGCGUAAAGGAAGAAGGUCUUCGGAUUGUAAACUUUUGUCGACAGGGAAGAAUAAAAUGACAGUACCUGUGGAGGAAGCCCCGGCUAACUACGUGCCAGCAGCCGCGGUAAUA
This 173-nucleotide ribosomal RNA is filed under the name uncultured bacterium. Its description in RNAcentral is "partial 16S ribosomal RNA". It matches the Rfam family "Bacterial small subunit ribosomal RNA", at positions 338 to 525 of the family's 1533-position model. The record is from RNAcentral.